Molecule: ribosomal RNA, 253 nt
Filed under: uncultured bacterium
Lineage: Bacteria
Description: partial 16S ribosomal RNA
Rfam family: Bacterial small subunit ribosomal RNA
Source: RNAcentral
UACGUAGGGCGCAAGCGUUGUCCGGAAUUAUUGGGCGUAAAGAGCUCGUAGGCGGUGUGUCGCGUCGGAUGUGAAAGCCCGGGGCUUAACCCCGGGUCUGCAUUCGAUACGGGCAGGCUAGAGUUCGGUAGGGGAGAUCGGAAUUCCUGGUGUAGCGGUGAAAUGCGCAGAUAUCAGGAGGAACACCGGUGGCGAAGGCGGUUCUCUGGGCAUUACCUGACGCUGAGGAGCGAAAGUGUGGGGAGCGAACAGG